This is a long non-coding RNA of Sarcophilus harrisii (Tasmanian devil), 1659 nucleotides long. The record is from Ensembl. NCBI's taxonomy places the organism in Eukaryota, Metazoa, Chordata, Mammalia, Dasyuromorphia, Dasyuridae.
UUUCUGACUCAGACUCAGCACUUUGUGUACCCUAUGGUGUCCCUAGGUGAAUAAAAACCCAGGAUUACAUUAGUAAUUUUUUAAAUUCAUAUUUCUUUAGAUACUAACAUAUAUUGAUUAGUCACAUGUCCCCAACCUGGGUCAUCUUCCUGUUUAUCCUACUAUAUUCUUCAAUAAGGAUUUCAAGAGGACAUACGCUAGAACAGGAUGUAUCAGAUAUGCUGGAUGAGACAAGUUUUUUCCAAGGCAUGAAAAGAAGCUGUAUGUCAAGGGUCCAUUCUACAAGUACAGUCACAGCCAAUUACAGUCCCAAGCAGCAAGAAGGAGGGAACAAAGAUAUUGACACUUCUCCUUCCCUGCAACCUACUCCCCACCAAUUAAAAUUCUGAGAAGCUCAAAGGAGACUGAAAAGUGAGAAGCAAAGAUAGUAUCUGAAAAGUCUAGGAGGAUAAAUGUGGGAAAGUCCAGUCAUGUAUCUCCACCCAUGGAUAUGUUGUAUAUGAUCACACAGACACAGGAAAUGGGAAACUGUACAAGUACUUUGAACUGCUGAAUGUCACUGAAUAAAAAACCACAACAGUAUGUUAUAUGAUUUCUGUGUAUCAGAGUAUCUCAUUCCAAUGCUGACCUAGAAGAUGGGAGAAGUGGCACCUUAGCAGUACUUGCCUAUUAUCCAGGUUCUUUGAAUUAGAUCUCUUCAUUACCUGAGCAAAUAAAUCAAAACUCCUUCACAUCUCAUCCUAGGAAACCCUUGUCCAUAUUUUUUCUGUAAGCUUUACCCAAAGUUCCCAUUCAACUGGCUAGACAUUUUUCUCUGGCUAUUUUAAUAUUCCACAGGUGGUGCCAUAGCAUUAAGUUUAUCUGUCAUUAUCUCCCACUCUUGAUAAAUGAUCAGCCAGGAAAUUUAGAAACAUUGGAAUCUUCUACUCCCUGACAACUCAUGAAACAGACAGUACUCAGAGAACCUAUUAAUUCUUUAAGGUCAUUGGGUAACAGGGCUAUAAGUAUAAAUGUGCUUAUUUCCCCUUUUUAAUCCCAUUUCCUAUAAAUAUUAAAAUAAAAUGAGUAAAUCAAUCAAGUUACCUUAAUCCUGUAAAUAUCUUGGUGCCUUUACUAGUCUUUAAUUGAAUCAAAUUCCAAACACAUUCCAAACACAUGAUAAAAGGCCUUAACCAAAUUAUGUCUUUAAAAAUCCAAUGGAUGAAUUGGAGUAAAUGAAAAACAUUUGAAUUGGCCAAAGGAACUUAGUCAUGUGCCCAUGAGUCCUCUAUAAAAUAGCAAACAAAUUCAAAAUUGAAAGAGAUUUCAGGUAAUAGUGAAUAAGGAAAAGGUAUCCCAGUUAACUUUUCUGAGGAGUUGUUUGAGGAAAAAAGAGAACUCUCCAAUCUCGGUUUUGGUCUCUUCCCCACUACCACCAUCAUUGACCAGAGGAACUUGUGAACUGCAUCCUUGGACUAGCUGAUGGCAUUGGGAGCCAAGGACAGAUUAGACACAAUUUAUAAUUCUACAAAGAUCUCAGCAGAAAACUGUAUCACACUUAAGAGUAACAUCUUGAGGAGUCCAGGAAAAAAGGAGUUGUGAAUUAUCCCUUUUACUACAUAUGCUCCCUAAACUUAAGUCCAUUUUCCUUUGAGCUCCACACAUAUUUGGAGGAGUGUU